GCGCACAAGCUAGAGUGAUCGAAAGAUGAAAAKCCCNUUUUGGACAGAGAGUCAAACAGUACGUGAAAUUGUUGAAANGGAAGCGCUUGCAACCAGACCCGUCCGUAGGYGAUCAGCCGCUGUUCUCAGUGGUGCACUCGCUSUGCGAUCAGGCCAGCAUCGGUUCGGGCGGUCGGAUAAAGGCCUUGGGAAUGUAGCUCCUUUCGGGGAGUCUUAUAGCCCUCGGUGCAAUGCGGCCAKCCGGGACCGAGGWCCGCGCUUCGGCUAKGAUGCUGGCGUAAUGGUUGUAAGCGACCCGUCUUGAAACACGGACCAAGGAGUCUAACAUCUAUGCGAGUGUUUGGGCGUUAAACCCAYGCGCGGAMUGAAAGUGAACGGAGGUGAGAACCCUUAAGGGCGCAUCAUCGACCSAUCCAGAUGUCUUCGGAUGGAUUUGAGUAUGAGCAUAGCUGYUGGGACCCSAAAGAUGAUGARUCUAUGCCCGAAUAGGGUGAAGCCAWGAGGAAACUUCUGGWGGAUGGCUCCGCAGUCGGUUCCUGAG
RNAcentral lists this ribosomal RNA (541 nucleotides) under Hypogymnia tubulosa. RNAcentral's name for it is "partial large subunit ribosomal RNA". It matches the Rfam family "Eukaryotic large subunit ribosomal RNA", at positions 340 to 890 of the family's 3401-position model. Lineage: Eukaryota; Fungi; Ascomycota; Lecanoromycetes; Lecanorales; Parmeliaceae. The record is from RNAcentral.